UUUAACUUUAACUUUGUUUAACUUUUUAACAUCUAAUAUUUGUUGUCUUAUUUCUCUUUUCAGAGUUUAGCUCCAACCCCAAUUAAGCAGACCUGAGCAGCUGAUCAAGGAUCACCAGAAACUUUGCAGAACGUUGGUCCUCCAUGCCCAGGACUGGACACCAGUGUUCUAAAUAAAACCAAAGGCCAUUCAGCCACAGGUCACUGCAUCUUUUGCUGUAUGCUGG
Molecule: long non-coding RNA, 226 nt
Filed under: Sinocyclocheilus anshuiensis
Lineage: Eukaryota; Metazoa; Chordata; Actinopteri; Cypriniformes; Cyprinidae
Description: lncRNA (ENSSANG00000007019.1)
Source: RNAcentral